GACGAACGCUGGCGGCGUGCUUAACACAUGCAAGUCGAACGAUGACGACCGAGCUUGCUCGGUCUGAUUAGUGGCGAACGGGUGAGUAACACGUGAGCAACCUGCCCUUCACUCUGGGAUAACCUCGGGAAAUCGGGGCUAAUACCGGAUAUGAGCUCCUGUCGCAUGGCGGGUGUUGGAAAGUUUUUCGGUGAAGGAUGGGCUCGCGGCCUAUCAGUUUGUUGGUGAGGUAGUGGCUCACCAAGGCGAUGACGGGUAGCCGGCCUGAGAGGGCGACCGGCCCCGCUGGGACUGAGACACGGCCCAGACUCCUACGGGAGGCAGCAGUGGGGAAUAUUGCACAAUGGGCGAAAGCCUGAUGCAGCGACGCCGCGUGAGGGAUGACGGCCUUCGGGUUGUAAACCUCUUUCAGCAGGGAAGAAGCGAAAGUGACGGUACCUGCAGAAGAAGCGCCGGCUAACUACGUG
Molecule: ribosomal RNA, 467 nt
Filed under: uncultured bacterium
Lineage: Bacteria
Description: partial 16S ribosomal RNA
Rfam family: Bacterial small subunit ribosomal RNA
Source: RNAcentral